UCCGCCGUAGUUUAAUGGCAGAACAUCGGAUUGUGGAACCAAACCUCCGGAGGAGGUGCGACAAGAAAUCCGAAGGAUUUCCGAUAACCGAAUGUGCAAGUUCGAUUCUUGUCGGUGGAC
Molecule: transfer RNA, 120 nt
Filed under: Lachnospiraceae bacterium
Lineage: Bacteria; Bacillati; Bacillota; Clostridia; Lachnospirales; Lachnospiraceae
Description: tRNA-OTHER
Rfam family: tRNA
About the family: Transfer RNA (tRNA) molecules are approximately 80 nucleotides in length. Their secondary structure includes four short double-helical elements and three loops (D, anti-codon, and T loops).
Source: RNAcentral